Molecule: ribosomal RNA, 491 nt
Filed under: Staphylococcus aureus
Lineage: Bacteria; Bacillati; Bacillota; Bacilli; Caryophanales; Staphylococcaceae
Description: bacterial SSU rRNA
Rfam family: Bacterial small subunit ribosomal RNA
Source: RNAcentral
UUUAUGGAGAGUUUGAUCCUGGCUCAGGAUGAACGCUGGCGGCGUGCCUAAUACAUGCAAGUCGAGCGAACGGACGAGAAGCUUGCUUCUCUGAUGUUAGCGGCGGACGGGUGAGUAACACGUGGAUAACCUACCUAUAAGACUGGGAUAACUUCGGGAAACCGGAGCUAAUACCGGAUAAUAUUAUGAACCGCAUGGUUCAAAAGUGAAAGACGGUCUUGCUGUCACUUAUAGAUGGAUCCGCGCUGCAUUAGCUAGUUGGUAAGGUAACGGCUUACCAAGGCAACGAUGCAUAGCCGACCUGAGAGGGUGAUCGGCCACACUGGAACUGAGACACGGUCCAGACUCCUACGGGAGGCAGCAGUAGGGAAUCUUCCGCAAUGGGCGAAAGCCUGACGGAGCAACGCCGCGUGAGUGAUGAAGGUCUUCGGAUCGUAAAACUCUGUUAUUAGGGAAGAACAUAUGUGUAAGUAACUGUGCACAUCUUGACG